CCCUAGUAACGGCGAGUGAAGCGGCAACAGCUCAAAUUUGAAAUCUGGCGUCUUUGGCGUCCGAGUUGUAAUUUGCAGAGGGCGCUUUGGCAUUGGCAGCGGUCCAAGUUCCUUGGAACAGGACGUCACAGAGGGUGAGAAUCCCGUACGUGGUCGCUAGCCUUUACCGUGUAAAGCCCCUUCGACGAGUCGAGUUGUUUGGGAAUGCAGCUCUAAAUGGGAGGUAAAUUUCUUCUAAAGCUAAAUACUGGCCAGAGACCGAUAGCGCACAAGUAGAGUGAUCGAAAGAUGAAAAGCACUUUGGAAAGAGAGUUAAAAAGCACGUGAAAUUGUUGAAAGGGAAGCGCUUGCAGCCAGACUUGCCUGUAGUUGCUCAUCCGGGUUUCUACCCGGUGCACUCUUCUACGGGCAGGCCAGCAUCAGUUUGGGCGGUUGGAUAAAGGUCUCUGUCAUGUACCUCCUCUCGGGGAGAUCUUAUAGGGGAGACGACAUGCAACCAGCCUGGACUGAGGUCCGCGCAUCUGCUAGGAUGCUGGCGUAAUGGCUGUAAGCGGCCCGUCUUGAAACACGGACCAAGGAGUCUAACAUCUAUGCGAGUGUUUGGGUGUCAAGCCCGAGCGCGUAAUGAAAGUGAACGGAGGUGGGAACCUUUCGGGGUGCACCAUCGACCGAUCCUGAUGUCUUCGGAUGGAUUUGAGUAAGAGCAUAGCUGUUGGGACCCGAAAGAUGGUGAACUAUGCUUGAAUAGGGUGAAGCCAGAGGAAACUCUGGUGGAGGCUCGCAGCGGUUCUGACGUGCAAAUCGAUCGUCAAAUUUGGGCAUAGGGGCGAAAGACUAAUCGAACUAUCUAGUAGCUGGUUCCUGCCGAAGUUUCCCUCAGGAUAGCAGUAACGUUUUCAGUUUUAUGAGGUAAAGCGAAUGAUUAGAGGCCUGGGGGUUGAAACAACCUU
This 950-nucleotide ribosomal RNA is filed under the name Epicoccum dendrobii. RNAcentral describes it as "eukaryotic LSU rRNA". It matches the Rfam family "Eukaryotic large subunit ribosomal RNA", at positions 78 to 1048 of the family's 3401-position model. The record is from RNAcentral. Lineage: Eukaryota; Fungi; Ascomycota; Dothideomycetes; Pleosporales; Didymellaceae.